RNAcentral lists this long non-coding RNA (240 nucleotides) under Lathyrus oleraceus (garden pea). RNAcentral describes it as "Pisum sativum (pea) long non-coding RNA (PSAT_LNC027184)". The record is from RNAcentral. Lineage: Eukaryota; Viridiplantae; Streptophyta; Magnoliopsida; Fabales; Fabaceae.
AUGUCAUAAGUUUCCGACACUAGAUAACCAUUGCAUUUACCAAUUUCAUUCCAAUUCCAAAAUACAUUUGCGCUCAAAGCACAUAAACCACAAAACCAUGACAUUACACAACCAUUACCACAUUUCCAUAAAUUACAAAGUCAUGUUCCAAAUUACAUUUCACAACAUUUUCUUACAAGUUCAUCAUAUUACAUAAACCCUACAAGUACAAUCCUAAUGAAUAAUCAAAGCUCCAUUAAC